Strigops habroptila (Kakapo) is the source of this 256-nucleotide long non-coding RNA. RefSeq lists it as uncharacterized. Lineage: Eukaryota; Metazoa; Chordata; Aves; Psittaciformes; Psittacidae. The transcript is spliced from 3 exons. The record is from RefSeq and is a predicted model, not a curated record.
CAGGUCAGUAAUCAUCAUUAAGCUUGUGGAAAAAAUGGAGGAAGUGGGAUAAUACCAAAAUUCAUUACUUGCAAAGCCAUGUAGAGAACAAGAGACUUAAAAGGAGACAACAGAUUCUUUUUGCAUGGAUGAAAUCAUGAGCUCCUCCCUGGGACUUUCCACAACUCCUUUGAUCAAACCUCCAAGACCACUGCCAUGAAAUGCAGCAUCUGAGCUGAUCAAACUCACUGUGAUCUGACGGCAGCUGAAAGGGCAA